GUAGUCCACGCCCUAAACGAUGUCUACUAGUUGUCGGGUUUUAAUUAACUUGGUAACGCAGCUAACGCGUGAAGUAGACCGCCUGGGGAGUACGGUCGCAAGAUUAAAACUCAAAGGAAUUGACGGGGACCCGCACAAGCGGUGGAUGAUGUGGAUUAAUUCGAUGCAACGCGAAAAACCUUACCUACCCUUGACAUGUACGGAAGGCCGAAGAGAUUUGGCUGUGCUCGAAAGAGAACCGUAACACAGGUGCUGCAUGGCUGUCGUCAGCUCGUGUCGUGAGAUGUUGGGUUAAGUCCCGCAACGAGCGCAACCCUUGUCAUUAGUUGCUACAUUCAGUUGAGCACUCU
This 350-nucleotide ribosomal RNA is filed under the name uncultured Massilia sp. RNAcentral describes it as "bacterial SSU rRNA". It matches the Rfam family "Bacterial small subunit ribosomal RNA", at positions 790 to 1141 of the family's 1533-position model. Lineage: Bacteria; Pseudomonadati; Pseudomonadota; Betaproteobacteria; Burkholderiales; Oxalobacteraceae. The record is from RNAcentral.